AUGGGUGCCCCGACGUUGCCCCCUGCCUGGCAGCCCUUUCUCAAGGACCACCGCAUCUCUACAUUCAAGAACUGGCCCUUCUUGGAGGGCUGCGCCUGCACCCCGGAGCGGGCAAAGGAAACCAACAAUAAGAAGAAAGAAUUUGAGGAAACUGCGGAGAAAGUGCGCCGUGCCAUCGAGCAGCUGGCUGCCAUGGAUUGAGGCCUCUGGCCGGAGCUGCCUGGUCCCAGAGUGGCUGCACCACUUCCAGGGUUUAUUCCCUGGUGCCACCAGCCUUCCUGUGGGCCCCUUAGCAAUGUCUUAGGAAAGGAGAUCAACAUUUUCAAAUUAGAUGUUUCAACUGUGCUCUUGUUUUGUCUUGAAAGUGGCACCAGAGGUGCUUCUGCCUGUGCAGCGGGUGCUGCUGGUAACAGUGGC
Molecule: unclassified non-coding RNA, 417 nt
Filed under: Homo sapiens (human)
Lineage: Eukaryota; Metazoa; Chordata; Mammalia; Primates; Hominidae
Description: partial baculoviral IAP repeat containing 5 transcript variant 8
Source: RNAcentral